This 101-nucleotide microRNA precursor is filed under the name Brachypodium distachyon (stiff brome). RNAcentral describes it as "miR5200a stem-loop (bdi-MIR5200a)". It matches the Rfam family "MIR5200 microRNA precursor family". The record is from miRBase by way of RNAcentral. Lineage: Eukaryota; Viridiplantae; Streptophyta; Magnoliopsida; Poales; Poaceae.
AAAGCACUAGAGCCUUAGGGAAUAUCUACACUAGUAAGUUCUUUUCCUUUCUUCUGGACAUGCUUAGCAGUGUAGAUACUCCCUAAGGCUUCGGUCGUAUU